AUGUUGCUGGUCGUGGAUUCGGGGAGCACACAUAGCUUCAUCUCCACCGCGUUCGUGGAGCGCGUCAAGGCUACCACAGUCGAUGUGCCGGCAGUUGAUGUGCGCGUCGCAAACGGUGAGAGGAUGGUUUGCAACAGGAUGGUAAACGGGCUGCAAUGGUGGAUCCAGGGCCACACGUUUCACACUGACAUGCGGCAGCUGGACCUCGGGGCGUAUGAUGGCGUGCUUGGCAUGGACUGGCUGGAGCAGUUCAGUCCGAUGAGCUGCCACUGGCUCGAGAAAUCCCUGACAUUCGUGCACCAGGGUGCCACGAUCACCCUACAAGGUGUUCGACCAAAAGACCAGCAGGCGUUGGAGGAGAUUGAGCCUGAUCAGCUGCGCAAAUGGCAAGCCGACAAUGACAUUUGGUACAUGGAUGUUUUGGACUUGCCUCGCGCCAACGAGUCACAGCCAACCAAGGUGCCACCGAGCGUGCAAGGCGUUCUGGACAGCUUCACCGACGUGUUCGCCGAGCCCAAGGGCUUGCCACCCCAUCGCUGCUGCGACCAUGCUAUCACUCUGGUGGAGAAUGCGCAACCAACAAAUUCCAGGCCGCACCGUUACUCACCAUUGCAGAAAGACGAGAUCUAA
Molecule: ribosomal RNA, 630 nt
Filed under: Triticum aestivum (bread wheat)
Lineage: Eukaryota; Viridiplantae; Streptophyta; Magnoliopsida; Poales; Poaceae
Description: partial small subunit ribosomal RNA
Source: RNAcentral